This is an RNA transcript of Vigna unguiculata (cowpea), 1146 nucleotides long. It is a transcript of the gene named P-loop containing nucleoside triphosphate hydrolases superfamily protein, with no coding region annotated. NCBI's taxonomy places the organism in Eukaryota, Viridiplantae, Streptophyta, Magnoliopsida, Fabales, Fabaceae. The record is from RefSeq and is a predicted model, not a curated record.
UAUAAUGAAGCACUCAUAUAAUGGACGUAGUGUCAGUGCCAUACAGUUGAAGGCGUUUGAAAUCCGGGUAAAAAUGGAAGCAACUUUCUCUUCAACGACGGGAAGAGGGUACUGGAAUAAGGCUCGUGCUUUGGCAGAACCGUUGCUCCUGAGAGUUGUGGAGAAUCGCGAUCGGAAUCCGUCUUCACUGUCCAUCGCGCGCUCUAGCAAGUUUGUGCAGCUGUCACUUCGAACGAGGAAGAGUUCUCUCUUUAAGGUUUUAUCCGCUGAAAAGGAACAAAUUCACGUUGUAGAGGGAAGUUGUGUUGAUGAGUUAUAUGAUGCAUUGGUUGCACGUCUUCUGCCUUCGGUGUUACUGUCAUCAAAUCCUAAUGACAAGCUUUUAGUUGGCCUGGCUGGUCCUCCAGGUGCUGGAAAGAGCACUCUAGGACAUGAAGUAGCCGGACGCAUAAACAAAAUUUGGCUAGAGAAAGGUUCUUCCUUUGACUCUAAGGUGCAACCUCCAGAUGUUGCAAUUGUCGUUCCCAUGGAUGGCUUUCAUCUUUAUCGUUCUGAACUAGAUGCAAUGGAGAAUCCUGAGGAAGCACAUGCCAGAAGGGGAGCUCCCUGGACAUUCAAUCCAUUGCGGCUACUCACAUGUCUCAAGAAUCUAAGAAUUGAUGGAUCAGUUUAUGUACCAUCGUUUGACCAUGGUGUUGGGGACCCAGUGGAAGAUGAUAUCUUUGUGAACCUUCAGCACAAGGUUGUUAUUGUAGAAGGUAACUAUUUACUCUUGGAAGAUGGGGUAUGGAAGGAGAUAUCAUCUUUGUUUGACGAGAAAUGUUUCCUCCCUAAGGAAGACAUUUGAAUUUACUUGUGAUUUGUGUCUCCUUCUCCAUCUAUAGGCAAAUCUCCAGACAUUGCUAAACAACGGAUAGACAACAACGACAGGCUCAAUGCAGAACUUAUAAUGAAGUCCAAGAAAAAUGCUGAUAUAGUUAUCAAGUCAGUUGAUUUCUGAAGAAUCUGUUUGCGCCAAGUCAAUCCUGUGGAGAGUAUUAUAACCUCAGAAGGGAUGUCUUUAAUAAAAUAAUUUAUUUUGUGAAUUUUCAGAGUCAAACAAACUGAUUUUUUUUUAAUUAUUAUUAUACAACAAAUUUUAGUGCA